Molecule: long non-coding RNA, 3192 nt
Filed under: Salmo salar (Atlantic salmon)
Lineage: Eukaryota; Metazoa; Chordata; Actinopteri; Salmoniformes; Salmonidae
Description: lncRNA (ENSSSAG00000093477.1)
Source: RNAcentral
GUUUUACUGUUCUCACUAGCAGUAGUUUUGCUGUUCUCCCUGCAGUAUUUUGCUGUUCUCCCUGCAGUAGUUUUACUGUUCUCACUAGCAGUAGUUUUACUGUUCUCACUAGCAGUAGUUUUGCUGUUCUCACUAGCAGUAGUUUUGCUGUUCUCACUAGCAGUAGUUUUGCUGUUCUCCCUGCAGUAGUUUUACUGUUCUCCCUGCAGUAGUUUUACUGUUCUCCCUGCAGUAGUUUUACUGUUCUCCCUGCAGUAUUUUGCUGUUCUCACUAGCAGUAGUUUGCUGUUCUCCCUGCAGUAGUUUGCUGUUCUCCCUGCAGUAGUUUUACUGUUCUCACUAGCAGUAGUUUUGCUGUUCUCACUAGCAGUAGUUUUGCUGUUCUCCCUGCAGUAGUUUUACUGUUCUCCCUGCAGUAUUUUUGCUGUUCUCCCUGCAGUAGUUUUACUGUAUGUUAUCUAAUUUGCCAUGCCAAAUUAAAGUAGGAAGCACCAGUGACUCGGUCUAUUAAAAAAGUGGUCAGAUGAAGCAGAUACUAAACUACAGGACUGUUUUGCUAGCACAGACUGGGAUAUAUUCCGGGAUUCUUCCGAAAUGGCAUUGAGAAGUACACCAGAUCAGUCACUGGCUUUAUCAAUAAGUGCAUCGAGGAUGUCGUCCCCACAGUGGCCGUACGUACGUACCCCAACCAGAAGCCAUGGAUUAAAGGCAACGUUCGCACUGAGCUAAAAGGUACAGCUGCAGCUUUCAAGGAGCGGGACUCUAACCAGGAAGCUUAUAAGAAAUCCCGCUAUGCCCUCCGACGAACCAUCAAAGAGGUAAAGCAUCAAUACAGGACUAAGAUCGAGUUGUACUACACCGGUCUGACGCUCGUCGGAUGUGGCAGGGCCUGCAAACCAUUACAGACUACAAAGGGAAGCACAGCCGAGAGCUGCCCAGUGACACGAGCCUACCAGACGAGCUAAAUAACUUCUAUGCUCGCUUCGAGGCAAGUAACACUGAAACAUGCAUGGAGCAACAGCUGUUCCCGGACGAUUGUGUGAUCAGGCUCUCCACAGCCGAUGUGAGUAAAGACCUUUAAACCGGUCAACAUUCACAAGGCCGCAGGGCCAGGCGGAAUACCAGGACGUGGUCUACGAGCACGCGCUGACCAACUGGCAAGUGUCUUCAGUGACAUUUUCAACCUCUCCUUGUCCGAGUCUGUAAUACCAACAUGUUUCAAGCAGACCACCAUAGUCCCUGUGCCCAAGAACACUAAGGUAACCUACCUAAAUGACUCCCGACCCAUAGCACUCUUGUCUGUAGCCAUGAAAUGCUUUGAAAGGCUGGUCAUGGCUCACAUCAACACCAUCAUCCCAGAAACCCUAGACCCGACUCCAAUUUGCAUACUGCCUCAACAGAUCCACAGAUGAUGCAAUCUCUAUUGCACUCCACACUGCCCUUUUACACCUGGACAAAAGGAACACCUAUGUGAGAAUGUUAUUCAUUGACUACAGCUCAGCGUUCAACACCAUAGUGCCCUCAAAGCUCAUCACCAAGGUAAGGACCCUGGGACUAAACACUUCCCUCUGCAACUGGAUCCUGGACUUCCUGACGGGCCGCCCCCAGGUGGUAAGGGUAGGUAACAACACAUCUGCCACGCUGAUCCUCAACACGGGGGUCCCUCAGGGGUGCGUGCUCAGUCCCAUCCUGUACUCCCUGUUCACUCAUGACUGCACGGCCAGGCACGAGUCCAACACCAUCAUUAAGUUUGCUGAUGACACAAAAGUGGUAGGACAGAUCACCGACAACGACGAGACAGCCUAUAGGGAGGAGGUCAGAGACCUGGCCGUGUGGUGCAAGGACAACAACCUCUCCCUCAACGUGAUCAAGACAAAGGAGAUGAUUGUGGACUACAGGAAAAGGAGGACUGAGCACGCCCCCAUUCUCAUUGACGGGGCUGUAGUGGAGCAGGUUGAGAGCUUCAAGUUCCUUGGCGUCUACAUCACCAACAAACUAUCAUUUGUAUUUUUUAAAUUUUAUUUCACCUUUAUUUAACCAGGCAGGCUAGUUGAGAACAAGUUCUCAUUUACAACUGUGACCUGGCCAAGAUAAAGCAAAGAUGUGCGACAAAAACAACAACACAGUGUUACACAUAAACAAACAUAUAGUCAAUAACACAAUAGAGAAGUCUAUAUACAGUGUGUGCAAAUGUAGAAGAGUAGGGAGGUAAGGCAAUAAAUAGACCAUAGAGGUGAAAUAAUUACAAUUUAGCAUUAACACUGGAGUGAUAGAUGUGCAGAAGAUGAUGUGCAAGUAGAGAUACUGGGGUGCAAAAGAGCAAGAGGAUAAGUAACAAUAUGGGGAUGAGGUAGCUGGUUGUGCUAUUUACAGAUUGGCUGUGUACAGGUACAGUGAUCGGUAAGCUGCUCUGACAGCUGAUGCUUAAAUUAGAGAGGGAGUUAAUAGUCUCCAGCUUCAGAGAUUUUUGCAAUUCGUUCCAGUCAUUGGCAGCAAAGAACUGGAAGGAAAGGCGGCCAAAAGAGGUGUUGGCUUUGGGGGAUGACCAGUGAAAUAUACCUGCUGGAGCGCGUGCUACGGAUGGGCCCAAGCACACCAAGACAGUCGUGAAGAGGGCACGACAAAACCUUUUCCCCCUCAAGAAACUGAAAAGAUUUGGCAUGGGUCCUCAGAUCCUCAAAAGGUUCUACAGCUGCACCAUCAAGGGCAUCCUGACGGGUUGCAUCACCGCCUGGUAUGACAACUGCUCGGCCUCCGACCGCAAGGCACUACAGAGGGUAGUACGUAUGGUCCAGUACAUCACUGGGGCCAAGCUUCCUGCCAUCCAGGACCUCUAUACCAGUCGGUGUCAGAGGAAGGCUCUAAAAAUGGUCAAAGACUCCAGCCACCCAAGUCAUGGAUUGUUCUGUCUGCUACCGCACGGCAAGUGGUACCAGAGCGCCAAGUCUAGGUCCAAGAGGCUUCUAAACAGCUUCUACCCCCAAGCCAUAAGCCUCCUGAACAUCUAAUCAAAUGACUACACAAACUAUUUGCAUUGCCACGCCCCCCCUUCUACGCUGCUGCUACUCUCUGUUUAUUAUCUGUGCAUAGUCACGUGUACAUUUUACCUCAAUUACCUCGACUAACCGGUGCCCCCGGACAUUGACUCUGUAGCGGUACCCCGUCUAUAGCCUCGCUAUUGUUUUUUUACUG